RNAcentral lists this long non-coding RNA (249 nucleotides) under Ananas comosus (pineapple). RNAcentral's name for it is "long non-coding RNA (ACOM_LNC000340)". The record is from RNAcentral. Lineage: Eukaryota; Viridiplantae; Streptophyta; Magnoliopsida; Poales; Bromeliaceae.
UAGAAUUAGGCUGGAAUACUAUAAAUAGUAAAACGUUUUUUUUACUAUCAAGUUUUUAACCCUUGGAUGAAAAAUUGUAGAGUCAGGAUGAUAUUAGUCGGUUAGAGUUGAGUGGUUCCCCUAGGGUUGAGUGGUCCCCACUGGGUUAUAGUAUUUAAUUCAAUGGUUACAAAUAAUGAAAAGAGUUGAUCCAAAGGCUAAAAAACUGGUAGCAACAAUGGAAUUUUGCUACUAAUAGUAGCCCAGUCC